Molecule: ribosomal RNA, 175 nt
Filed under: Mesotoga sp. Brook.08.YT.4.2.5.2.
Lineage: Bacteria; Thermotogati; Thermotogota; Thermotogae; Kosmotogales; Kosmotogaceae
Description: partial 16S ribosomal RNA
Rfam family: Bacterial small subunit ribosomal RNA
Source: RNAcentral
UGGAUGGAGGGUUUGAUCCUGGCUCAGGGUGAACGCUGGCGGCGUGCUUGACACAUGCAAGUCGAACGGUAUGUGGCAACACAUAGAGUGGCGAACGGGUGAGUAACACGUGGGAACGUACCCUACGCAGGGGGAUAACUGACCGAAAGGACAGCUAAUACCGCAUAAGACCGCA